ACGGAAGGCAGCAGUGGGGAAUAUUGCACAAUGGGGGAAACCCUGAUGCAGCGACGCCGCGUGAGUGAAGAAGUAUUUCGGUAUGUAAAGCUCUAUCAGCAGGAAAGAAAAUGACGGUACCUGACUAAGAAGCCCCGGCUAACUACGUGCCAGCAGCCGCGGUAAUACGUAGGGGGCAAGCGUUAUCCGGAUUUACUGGGUGUAAAGGGAGCGUAGACGGCCACGCAAGUCUGAAGUGAAAGCCCGGGGCUCAACCCCGGAACUGCUUUGGAAACUGUGAGGCUAGAGUGCAGGAGAGGUAAGCGGAAUUCCUAGUGUAGCGGUGAAAUGCGUAGAUAUUAGGAGGAACACCAGUGGCGAAGGCGGCUUUCUGGACUGUAACUGACACUGAGGCACGAAAGCGUGGGGAGCAAACAGGAUUAGAUACCCUGGUA
Molecule: ribosomal RNA, 434 nt
Filed under: uncultured Clostridium sp.
Lineage: Bacteria; Bacillati; Bacillota; Clostridia; Eubacteriales; Clostridiaceae
Description: partial 16S ribosomal RNA
Rfam family: Bacterial small subunit ribosomal RNA
Source: RNAcentral